CGUGCGGCCAGCGGGGGGCGUGGUGUGCACGUUAACCCUGGCGUUUCUGAACCCAGAGCGUCCCAAGUCUUUCUCGGUGGAUCUGCAGCUCACAGGCAGGUCUACAGACUGGUUGAUUUUACCUCAUGUAUAUCAAGGAAGAUGCCAUGCCAAUGAUCCCUCUCUGGUGAAGAAGAGAAAAUUCACAGCAGCCAGCACAGGGCUGGGCCUGGAGAAGCACGUGACCACCACUCUGAGGGAUGGUGACCACGCAGUUAACAGGGAUGCAAUUGCUUGGCAGAAACCACCUGUGAGGGAAGGAGGCAACCAGGACGGGAAAGGGGAAAGAGCUGAGGACGGAUGUGGUCUAAGGCAACCCUGUUACCGCCAAAAGGGGCCUUCUACUCGCUGCAAAGACAAGCCGACAGUCAACAGCUAUUGCCAAGAGAAGAUGAAGCGGCACAUGGAGUUUGUGCAGAGGUGGGGGGCAGGCAAUGACUGAUCGUCCAAGGCAACACGGGGUGAGGCAAGUGCUUUCCUCCAACCCAGCUCCUCGCUUGUAUCUCCUCAACGCCCUCACCCCGCUGCACCCCAGGCUCUCUAUUAGUUCUCGGAUUCCUGUGGUUUCUUCAGGGGAUGAUUCAGGAACAGGCAGCCAUCUUGGCAGGAAGUUGCAAGCCUCACACCUGUGCCGCC
RNAcentral lists this long non-coding RNA (675 nucleotides) under Equus caballus (horse). RNAcentral describes it as "lncRNA (ENSECAG00000056004.1)". The record is from RNAcentral. Lineage: Eukaryota; Metazoa; Chordata; Mammalia; Perissodactyla; Equidae.